CUGCUCGCUCCCGCGCGCGGGCUAAUACACAAUAUCUGGCGCCGCUCCUCCUCGGCUUCGGCUGCCCCUCGCGCACUCGCUUCCCGUGGGCCGCGCGGGUGAAGGAGCGUACGUGCGGGUGGUUGAUUUGUGGCUAGCUGGUGCGCGCGGGAUGGCGUCGCUCGCCGUGUCCGGCGCGAGGCUCGGGGUGGUCGUGCGGGCCGGCGGCUCGGCGGGAUCGGGCGGGGAGCGCAGGAGUGGGGUGGCCUUGCCGUCGGUGCUCUUCAGGAGGAAGGACGCCUUCUCUCGUGUCGUUCUGGGCUGUGAUGGUGCUCCUGGAAAAGAGCUGCUGAUGGCCGGAUGUGGCAGUGAUCACUUGCUUUCAUCCACAGAGCCUGUCGUGGAUGCUCUGCAGCGGUCUGAAGGAUUACAGCCAAACAACAGAAUUCAGGAAAGAUGAUUCUAAUUCUCAAUUUGGUGCUCCAAUAUCUACAUCUGCUGGAGACCAAAAAGAGCAGCACGGAUAGUCCGCGGUGAUGGCGCGGACGGUCCGCGCGUGCGCAGAGUCAGUUAGGGUUCCUAGUUUCUCGCGGGAUUUGUUACCUAAAACCGCGGGAUUAACUCGGAAAUCA
Molecule: RNA transcript, 611 nt
Organism: Zea mays
Lineage: Eukaryota; Viridiplantae; Streptophyta; Magnoliopsida; Poales; Poaceae
Gene name: 1,4-alpha-glucan-branching enzyme pseudogene
Exons: 3
Source: RefSeq, marked validated